Molecule: ribosomal RNA, 943 nt
Filed under: Latilactobacillus sakei
Lineage: Bacteria; Bacillati; Bacillota; Bacilli; Lactobacillales; Lactobacillaceae
Description: bacterial SSU rRNA
Rfam family: Bacterial small subunit ribosomal RNA
Source: RNAcentral
UGCUAUACUGCAGUCGAACGCACUCUCGUUUAGAUUGAAGGAGCUUGCUCCUGAUUGAUAAACAUUUGAGUGAGUGGCGGACGGGUGAGUAACACGUGGGUAACCUGCCCUAAAGUGGGGGAUAACAUUUGGAAACAGAUGCUAAUACCGCAUAAAACCUAACACCGCAUGGUGUAGGGUUGAAAGAUGGUUUCGGCUAUCACUUUAGGAUGGACCCGCGGUGCAUUAGUUAGUUGGUGAGGUAAAGGCUCACCAAGACCGUGAUGCAUAGCCGACCUGAGAGGGUAAUCGGCCACACUGGGACUGAGACACGGCCCAGACUCCUACGGGAGGCAGCAGUAGGGAAUCUUCCACAAUGGACGAAAGUCUGAUGGAGCAACGCCGCGUGAGUGAAGAAGGUUUUCGGAUCGUAAAACUCUGUUGUUGGAGAAGAAUGUAUCUGAUAGUAACUGAUCAGGUAGUGACGGUAUCCAACCAGAAAGCCACGGCUAACUACGUGCCAGCAGCCGCGGUAAUACGUAGGUGGCAAGCGUUGUCCGGAUUUAUUGGGCGUAAAGCGAGCGCAGGCGGUUUCUUAAGUCUGAUGUGAAAGCCUUCGGCUCAACCGAAGAAGUGCAUCGGAAACUGGGAAACUUGAGUGCAGAAGAGGACAGUGGAACUCCAUGUGUAGCGGUGAAAUGCGUAGAUAUAUGGAAGAACACCAGUGGCGAAGGCGGCUGUCUGGUCUGUAACUGACGCUGAGGCUCGAAAGCAUGGGUAGCAAACAGGAUUAGAUACCCUGGUAGUCCAUGCCGUAAACGAUGAGUGCUAGGUGUUGGAGGGUUUCCGCCCUUCAGUGCCGCAGCUAACGCAUUAAGCACUCCGCCUGGGGAGUACGACCGCAAGGUUGAAACUCAAAGGAAUUGACGGGGGCCCGCACAAGCGGUGGAGCAUGUGGUUUAAU